This 497-nucleotide ribosomal RNA is filed under the name uncultured bacterium. RNAcentral's name for it is "partial 16S ribosomal RNA". It matches the Rfam family "Bacterial small subunit ribosomal RNA", at positions 28 to 507 of the family's 1533-position model. The record is from RNAcentral.
GACGAACGCUGGCGGCGUGCCUAAUACAUGCCAGUUGAGCGCUGAAGGUUGGUACUUGUACCAACUGGAUGAGCAGCGAACGGGUGAGUAACGCGUGGGGAAUCUGCCUUUGAGCGGGGGACAACAUUUGGAAACGAAUGCUAAUACCGCAUAAAAACUUUAAACACAAGUUUUAAGUUUGAAAGAUGCAAUUGCAUCACUCAAAGAUGAUCCCGCGUUGUAUUAGCUAGUUGGUGAGGUAAAGGCUCACCAAGGCGAUGAUACAUAGCCGACCUGAGAGGGUGAUCGGCCACAUUGGGACUGAGACACGGCCCAAACUCCUACGGGAGGCAGCAGUAGGGAAUCUUCGGCAAUGGACGAAAGUCUGACCGAGCAACGCCGCGUGAGUGAAGAAGGGUUUCGGAUCGUAAAACUCGGUUGGUAGAGAAGAACGUUGGUGAGAGUGGAAAGCUCAUCAAGUGACGGUAACUACCCAGAAAGGGACGGCUAACUACGUG